UACGGAGGAUGCGAGCGUUAUCCGGAUUUAUUGGGUUUAAAGGGUGCGUAGGCGGAUUGUCAAGUCAGCGGUAAAAUUGAGAGGCUCAACCUCUUCCCGCCGUUGAAACUGGUGGUCUUGAGUGGAUGAGAAGUACGCGGAAUGCGUGGUGUAGCGGUGAAAUGCAUAGAUAUCACGCAGAACUCCGAUUGCGAAGGCAGCGUACCGGCAUCCAACUGACGCUGAGGCACGAAAGCGUAGGGAUCAAACAGG
Molecule: ribosomal RNA, 252 nt
Filed under: uncultured bacterium
Lineage: Bacteria
Description: partial 16S ribosomal RNA
Rfam family: Bacterial small subunit ribosomal RNA
Source: RNAcentral